GUGAGGAAUUUUCCGCAAUGGGCGAAAGCCUGACGGAGCAAUGCCGCGUGAAGGAUGAAGGCCUAUGGGUUGUAAACUUCUUUUCUCAGAAAAGAAUUAUGACGGUAUCUGAGGAAUAAGCAUCGGCUAACUCUGUGCCAGCAGCCGCGGUAAGACAGAGGAUGCAAGCGUUAUCCGGAAUGAUUGGGCGUAAAGCGUCUGUAGGUUGUUUAAAAAGUAUUCUGUCAAAGAUUAGGGCUUAACCCUAGAUAGGCAGAAUAAACUUUUAAGCUAGAGUUUGGUAGGGGCAGAGGGAAUUCCCGGUGGAGCGGUGAAAUGCGUAGAUAUCGGGAGGAACACCAAAGGCGAAGGCACUCUGCUGGGCCAAUACUAACACUGAGAGACGAAAGCGAGGGGAGCAAAUGGGAUUAGAAACCCGAGUAGUCC
This 426-nucleotide ribosomal RNA is filed under the name uncultured bacterium. RNAcentral describes it as "bacterial SSU rRNA". It matches the Rfam family "Bacterial small subunit ribosomal RNA", at positions 354 to 796 of the family's 1533-position model. The record is from RNAcentral.